RNAcentral lists this ribosomal RNA (171 nucleotides) under Arthurdendyus triangulatus. RNAcentral describes it as "5.8S ribosomal RNA". The stretch from base 4 to 155 matches the Rfam family "5.8S ribosomal RNA". Rfam says of the family: 5.8S ribosomal RNA (5.8S rRNA) is a component of the large subunit of the eukaryotic ribosome. It is transcribed by RNA polymerase I as part of the 45S precursor that also contains 18S and 28S rRNA. The record is from RNAcentral. Lineage: Eukaryota; Metazoa; Platyhelminthes; Tricladida; Geoplanidae.
UACAACUUUAAGCAAUGGAUCACUCGGCUCACACGUCGAUGAAGAACGUAGCAAAAUAUGUGAAUUAAUGUAAUCUGCACAACGCUCUGAUCAUUGACACUUUGAACGCAAAUGGCGGCUAUGGGUUAACUGUAGCCACGUCUGUCUGAGGGUCGGCAUAAAACUUAUCAU